GAUCCUGGCUCAGAACGAACGCUGGUGGCGUGUCUUAUACAUGCAAGUCGAGCGAGGCAGCAAUGCCGAGCGGCGAACGGGUGAGUAACGCGUAAGCAAUCUGCCCCAUAUCAGGAAAUACCCGUGCCAACGCGCGGUUAAUGUCCAGGAGAGUGGCCCUCCGCAUGGAGGGUUGACUAGAGAUUCAUCGGUAUGGGAUGAGCUUGCGUCCGAUUAGCUAGUUGGCGGGGCAACGGCCCACCAAGGCGACGAUCGGUAGCCGGCCUGAGAGGGUGAUCGGCCACAUUGGGACUGAGAUACGGCCCAGACUCCUACGGGAGGCAGCAGUAGGGAAUAUUGCACAAUGGGGGAAACCCUGAUGCAGCAACGCCACGUGUGGGAAGAAGCAUUUCGGUGUGUAAACCACUGUCAUGAGGGAAUAAGGCCCGCCUUCGGACGGGAUUGAAUGUACCUUGAGAGGAAGCACCGGCAAACUUCGUGCCAGCAGCAGC
Molecule: ribosomal RNA, 491 nt
Filed under: uncultured bacterium
Lineage: Bacteria
Description: bacterial SSU rRNA
Rfam family: Bacterial small subunit ribosomal RNA
Source: RNAcentral